GAGUUUGAUCCUGGCUCAGAUUGAACGCUGGCGGCAGGCUUAACACAUGCAAGUCGAGCGGAGACUUCGGUCUUAGCGGCGAACGGGUGAGGAAUGCCUGGGAAUCUGCCUAUUAGUGGGGGAUAACGUUCCGAAAGGAACGCUAAUACCGCAUACGUCCUACGGGAGAAAGCAGGGGACCUUCGGGCCUUGCGCUAAUAGAUGAGCCCAGGUCGGAUUAGCUAGUUGGUGGGGUAAAGGCUCACCAAGGCGACGAUCCGUAGCUGGUCUGAGAGGAUGAUCAGCCACACUGGAACUGAGACACGGUCCAGACUCCUACGGGAGGCAGCAGUAGGGAAUAUUGGACAAUGGGCGAAAGCCUGAUCCAGCCAUGCCGCGUGUGUGAAGAAGGCCUUCGGGUUGUAAAGCACUUUAAGCGGGGAGGAAGUACUUGGGGCUAAUACCCCUGAGUGUUGACGUUACCCGCAGAAUAAGCACCGGCUAACUCUGUGCCAGCAGCCGCGGUAAUACAGAGGGUGCAAGCGUUAAUCGGAAUUACUGGGCGUAAAGCGCGCGUAGGCGGUUUGUUAAGUCGGAUGUGAAAUCCCCGGGCUCAACCUGGGCACGGCAUCCGAUACUGGCUGACUAGAGUGUGGGAGAGGAAGGUAGAAUUCCAGGUGUAGCGGUGAAAUGCGUAGAGAUCUGGAGGAAUACCGAUGGCGAACGCAGCCUUCUGGCCUAACACUGACGCUGAGGUGCGAAAGGCAUGGGGAGCAAACAGGAUUAGAUACCCUGGUAGUCCAUGCCGUAAACGAUGUCAACUAGCCGUUGGGGACCUUGAGUCUUUAGUGGCGCAGCUAACGCGAUAAGUUGACCGCCUGGGGAGUACGGCCGCAAGGUUAAAACUCAAAUGAAUUGACGGGGGCCCGCACAAGCGGUGGAGUAUGUGGGUUUAAUUCGAUGCAACGCGAGACCUUUACCUGGCCUUGACAUAUCCAGAACCCCUGCAGAGAUGCGGGGUGCCUUCGGAUCCGGAUACAGUGCUGCAUGGCUGUCGUCAGCUCGUGUCGUGAGAAUGUUCGAGUUAUGUCCUGCACGAGGCUGCCUAUC
Molecule: ribosomal RNA, 1089 nt
Filed under: uncultured Pseudomonadota bacterium
Lineage: Bacteria; Pseudomonadati; Pseudomonadota
Description: bacterial SSU rRNA
Rfam family: Bacterial small subunit ribosomal RNA
Source: RNAcentral